Molecule: transfer RNA, 86 nt
Filed under: Pelistega sp.
Lineage: Bacteria; Pseudomonadati; Pseudomonadota; Betaproteobacteria; Burkholderiales; Alcaligenaceae
Description: tRNA-Tyr
Rfam family: tRNA
About the family: Transfer RNA (tRNA) molecules are approximately 80 nucleotides in length. Their secondary structure includes four short double-helical elements and three loops (D, anti-codon, and T loops).
Source: RNAcentral
GGUGGAGUGUCCGAGUGGCUAAAGGAGGCAGACUGUAAAUCUGUUGGCUAACGCCUACGCUGGUUCGAAUCCAGCCUCCACCACCA